CUACGGGGCGCACCAGUGGGGAAUUUUGGACAAUGGGCGAAAGCCUGAUCCAGCAAUGCCGCGUGUGCGAAGAAGGCCUUCGGGUUGUAAAGCACUUUUGUCAGGGAAGAAAUCGUUUGGGUUAAUACCCCGAGCAGUUGACGGUACCUGAAGAAUAAGCACCGGCUAACUACGUGCCAGCAGCCGCGGUAAUACGUAGGGUGCAAGCGUUAAUCGGAAUUACUGGGCGUAAAGCGUGCGCAGGUGGUUUGUUAAGACAGUUGUGAAAUCCCCGGGCUUAACCUGGGAACUGCAAUUGUGACUGGCAGACUGGAGUGAGGCAGAGGGGGGCGGAAUUCCUGGUGUAGCAGUGAAAUGCGUAGAUAUCAGGAGGAACACCGAUGGCGAAGGCAGCCCCCUGGGCCAUCACUGACACUCAUGCACGAAAGCGUGGGGAGCAAACAGGAUUAGAUACCCGAGUAGUC
This 464-nucleotide ribosomal RNA is filed under the name uncultured bacterium. Its description in RNAcentral is "partial 16S ribosomal RNA". It matches the Rfam family "Bacterial small subunit ribosomal RNA", at positions 339 to 795 of the family's 1533-position model. The record is from RNAcentral.